Molecule: ribosomal RNA, 496 nt
Filed under: Gomphus vulgatissimus (common clubtail)
Lineage: Eukaryota; Metazoa; Arthropoda; Insecta; Odonata; Gomphidae
Description: eukaryotic LSU rRNA
Source: RNAcentral
UCUGGGAGUAAACAGGUGGUACCUGAAAAGUUCGAAAGGGGAGAUUCAAGUCUUGCUGCGCGCUGGGCAGCAGUUGCAAGCAGAGAUGGCGUUUUCUGCAGUCGAGGGGCAACUCUUGGUCCGUGGGAGCACCACUCCAUGGCCGCUGUCUCUCCUGGCAUCAGAGUGACGCACUUCUCCCCAAGUAGGAUGUUGCGACCCAUCGAGCGCCGGCCUAAGGCUGCAGGUGGAGCCUGCGAGGCCUGCCUCUCCGCAAGGGGGGGCCGACCGCGCACGACCCGGCGAGUCCCGGCCAGGAGCGCGAUGGUAUGAAGCAAGGAAUGAGUCAACAUGCCAAUUAAUUUGAUGUCUGGCCCUGCGCAAGCACCUGCGGGAGUCAAGGCUGUGGGCCUGGCCUGAUCCCGGUCCCUCUGUGGGGCUAUUUGCAAGAAGGUGUCCUCGGAUGGUGUUGAUUCUCCAGUCAGUGACACUUCAGCUUGGAUGGCCUACCCGACCU